CCUACGGGUGGCAGCAGUGAGGAAUAUUGGUCAAUGGCCGAGAGGCUGAACCAGCCAAGUCGCGUGAGGGAAGACGGCCCUACGGGUUGUAAACCUCUUUUGUCGGGGAGCAAAGCGAACCACGUGUGGUUCAUUGAGAGUACCCGAAGAAAAAGCAUCGGCUAACUCCGUGCCAGCAGCCGCGGUAAUACGGAGGAUGCGAGCGUUAUCCGGAUUUAUUGGGUUUAAAGGGUGCGCAGGCGGAGGUGCAAGUCAGCGGUCAAAUUGCGGGGCUCAACCCCGUACUGCCGUUGAAACUGCAUCCCUUGAGUGCGCGAGAAGUAUGCGGAAUGCGUGGUGUAGCGGUGAAAUGCAUAGAUAUCACGCAGAACCCCGAUUGCGAAGGCAGCAUACCGGCGCCCGACUGACGCUGAGGCACGAAAGUGCGGGUAUCGAACAGGAUUAGAUACCCCUGUAGUC
RNAcentral lists this ribosomal RNA (459 nucleotides) under uncultured bacterium. Its description in RNAcentral is "partial 16S ribosomal RNA". It matches the Rfam family "Bacterial small subunit ribosomal RNA", at positions 338 to 795 of the family's 1533-position model. The record is from RNAcentral.